ACGAACAUACUCAAAAUACUGUUGAUUGCUCCUAUCUAGCAUCGGAUCGACAACAUCUUCCGGUCGAACUGGCCUGCAACCCGGAAUUUCGAGAUUCUCUUUUUGAUCAACAAACUCUCCUUCUACCACCUGAUCAAGAAAAGGUAAAUAUAUUGUAAGAGCUAAAAACCAUGCAUUAUUAGGCAUAUAAACGUAUUUUGGAAUCCCAAGUUCUUUAGGGAUCUCUAAAGACUCAGUUCCAGACAGGUCGAUGAUUAUGGCGGCGGGACCAAAAUUCAGAGCAGAUAAAGCUGAACGGAAAGCUGGUCGGAUUUCACGCAUCAUAACAGAAAUUUGGGUAACGAUGGCGGCUUCUGGUUGGAUGAGACUGGAAAUGUCAACCGGAGGG
This 388-nucleotide long non-coding RNA is filed under the name Jatropha curcas. RNAcentral's name for it is "long non-coding RNA (JCUR_LNC002074)". Lineage: Eukaryota; Viridiplantae; Streptophyta; Magnoliopsida; Malpighiales; Euphorbiaceae. The record is from RNAcentral.